GAUGAACGCUAGCGGCAGGCCUAACACAUGCAAGUCGAGGGAGAAGCCCUUUCGGGGGCAGAAACCGGCGCACGGGUGCGUAACGCGUAUGCAACCUACCUUUCACAGGGGGAUAGCCCGAAGAAAUUUGGAUUAAUACCCCAUAAUAUUAUUGGAUGGCAUCAUUUGAUAAUUAAAACUGCGGUGGUGAAAGAUGGGCAUGCGUCCUAUUGGCUAGUUGGAGUGGUAACGGCACCCCAAGGCUACGAUAGGUAGGGGUCCUGAGAGGGAGAUCCCCCACACUGGUACUGCGACAGGGACCAGACUCCUACGGGAGGCAGCAGUGAGGAAUAUUGGUCAAUGGUCGGAAGACUGAACCAGCCAUGCCGCGUGCAGGAAGAAUGCCUUAUGGGUUGUAAACUGCUUUUAUAUGGGAAGAAUAAGGCGUACGUGUACGUUGAUGACGGUACCAUAUGAAUAAGCAUCGGCUAACUCCGUG
Molecule: ribosomal RNA, 478 nt
Filed under: uncultured bacterium
Lineage: Bacteria
Description: partial 16S ribosomal RNA
Rfam family: Bacterial small subunit ribosomal RNA
Source: RNAcentral